GGUCAAGUGACUAAGUGCAUGU
Molecule: ribosomal RNA, 22 nt
Filed under: uncultured bacterium
Lineage: Bacteria
Also listed under: 2 other names
Description: partial 23S ribosomal RNA
Source: RNAcentral